AGGGUGCUAGCUCAAUGGAAGAGCACCUACUUUACAAGUAGGAGAAUGGUGGUUCAAUUCCAUCUUGCCCUA
This 72-nucleotide transfer RNA is filed under the name Cryptomeria japonica (Japanese cedar). RNAcentral's name for it is "tRNA-Val". It matches the Rfam family "tRNA". Rfam says of the family: Transfer RNA (tRNA) molecules are approximately 80 nucleotides in length. Their secondary structure includes four short double-helical elements and three loops (D, anti-codon, and T loops). Further hydrogen bonds mediate the characteristic L-shaped molecular structure. tRNAs have two regions of fundamental functional importance: the anti-codon, which is responsible for specific mRNA codon recognition, and the 3' end, to which the tRNAs corresponding amino acid is attached (by aminoacyl-tRNA synthetases). tRNAs cope with the degeneracy of the genetic code in two manners: having more than one tRNA (with a specific anti-codon) for a particular amino acid; and 'wobble' base-pairing, i.e. permitting non-standard base-pairing at the 3rd anti-codon position. The record is from RNAcentral. Lineage: Eukaryota; Viridiplantae; Streptophyta; Pinopsida; Cupressales; Cupressaceae.